UUUUUGAAUCUGGGGUCGAACAUGACGGCACCAAAGUGACCACUCUUGGCCAUAGGAUAAUCUGGGAUUAUGUUGUUUAUAAUAUCAUCUACAUGCUUAAGAAUUCGACUCCGGAUCAGCUCAAAGCCAAUCUCGUCGGGAUUCUGUUGCUCUU
Molecule: long non-coding RNA, 154 nt
Organism: Hibiscus syriacus
Lineage: Eukaryota; Viridiplantae; Streptophyta; Magnoliopsida; Malvales; Malvaceae
Exons: 2
Source: RefSeq, a predicted model, not a curated record